GACUGGGAAAGGCCAUGGCAGGUACGGUGUUUUUCCCCAUUUAGUUCCUAAUUUCGUGCUAUUAUAUACCCUCUUUGUCAUUUUCUAAUCUGCUCUCUUAAUAUCUACUUAUGUACUGUCAUAAAUAAUUUAAUUCUUAAGUUGUUUUAUAUGGAUUGUGACAGUUUGUUUCAUAUUUCCUGAUUUUAUCAUUUGUUGUCUUUUUCUAGUUAAGUUAGUGGAAUUGCAUUUGACAUUAUAUGCCCUGGCUUCAUCAUUUGUCCUAUGGAUGACGGACAUUAUAAAUUAUUUUACUAUACUCCCACGAAAUACUAAAGCUUUGAACCAUAGUAACAUGAUUUAGAUAUUAAAUACAUGAUUCUAAUGUCAACAAACUGAUGUUCUCUCGUACUGUAGAAGAGAUUUUAUUGUUUCUGUAGAAACUUCAUCAAGGGAGUAGAUGCUUGUGUGUGUGUUAUAAAUGUUUCUAGUCCACUAGGAUGUUCACUGGAGCUGUGCCCUCUUUACUUCCUCAUUUGUGUAUCUGGAACCGUGUUAGCACUUUAUUGCUUUUUGAGCAGGUACUUGGGUCAUCUGCAACUGCAUUCACUGAUAGAAUUGAACUAUAAAUUCAUCUUAAUACCAUUAUUCAAAACUUAUAGAAAAGGUGUCAAUUUUGGACAGCAGGAUUACACAUCUAAAACAUGACAAAAUUAUUGAUUUAAACCUGGAUCCAAUACAAUGUGGCCUUAAAAUUAAACAAUAUGGCCUGUUCUAGAGAUUGAUUGACUAUUGAAUAUUUUGAGUUAAACUAGAGAUAUUCAGACGUAAACCUGAAUGUGACACGGUAAUUUACACAAACACCACCAUGGACCUGAAUUGCUACCCUGAUUCCCUGAAUGUAGGUGGAUACUCAAUGACCUCAAUAUGUCCUUCAUAACGCUCUUGCAAAGCUAGACAUCCAUUUUCUUGUUCUUUAGUUCAUGGAAUGAAUGAGAGUAGAAUAGCUAUUUCUAGCUUUGUUUCAAAUUUUAAAUGCGGAAUAGCUAUUCACAAUCUCAACUUUUCAUUAAAA
Molecule: unclassified non-coding RNA, 1054 nt
Filed under: Hevea brasiliensis (rubber tree)
Lineage: Eukaryota; Viridiplantae; Streptophyta; Magnoliopsida; Malpighiales; Euphorbiaceae
Source: RNAcentral